CGAACGCUGGCGGCAGGCCUAAUACAUGCAAGUCGAACGGCUCUUCGGAGCAGUGGCGGACGGGUGAGUAACGCGUGGGAAUGUGCCCUUAGGUACGGAACAACACAGGGAAACUUGUGCUAAUACCGUAUGUGCCCUUCGGGGGAAAGAUUUAUCGCCCUUGGAGCAGCCCGCGUUGGAUUAGGUAGUUGGUGAGGUAAAGGCUCACCAAGCCGACGAUCCAUAGCUGGUCUGAGAGGAUGACCAGCCACACUGGGACUGAGACACGGCCCAGACUCCUACGGGAGGCAGCAGUAGGGAAUCUUGCGCAAUGGGCGAAAGCCUGACGCAGCCAUGCCGCGUGUAUGAUGAAGGUCUUAGGAUUGUAAAAUACUUUCACCGGGGAAGAUAAUGACGGUACCCGGAGACGGAGCCCCGGCUAACUUCGUGCCAGCCGCCGCCGUAA
RNAcentral lists this ribosomal RNA (445 nucleotides) under uncultured bacterium. RNAcentral describes it as "partial 16S ribosomal RNA". It matches the Rfam family "Bacterial small subunit ribosomal RNA", at positions 30 to 523 of the family's 1533-position model. The record is from RNAcentral.